RNAcentral lists this ribosomal RNA (253 nucleotides) under uncultured bacterium. Its description in RNAcentral is "partial 16S ribosomal RNA". It matches the Rfam family "Bacterial small subunit ribosomal RNA", at positions 524 to 776 of the family's 1533-position model. The record is from RNAcentral.
UACGUAGGUGGCAAGCGUUGUCCGGAUUUACUGGGCGUAAAGAGCGCGCAGGCGGUCGUUCAAGUCGCGUGUGAAAGCCCCCGGCUCAACUGGGGAGGGUCACGCGAUACUGUUCGACUCGAAGGCAGGAGAGGGAAGUGGAAUUCCCGGUGUAGUGGUGAAAUGCGUAGAUAUCGGGAGGAACACCAGUGGCGAAGGCGACUUCCUGGCCUGUUCUUGACGCUGAGGCGCGAAAGCUAGGGGAGCAAACGGG